This 27-nucleotide transfer RNA is filed under the name Nerium oleander (common oleander). RNAcentral's name for it is "partial tRNA-Gln". The record is from RNAcentral. Lineage: Eukaryota; Viridiplantae; Streptophyta; Magnoliopsida; Gentianales; Apocynaceae.
UUCGGAGGUCGAUCCUUCCGUCCCAGA